This 146-nucleotide ribosomal RNA is filed under the name Bacillus thuringiensis. Its description in RNAcentral is "16S rRNA. Bacterial SSU". It matches the Rfam family "Bacterial small subunit ribosomal RNA", at positions 1 to 139 of the family's 1533-position model. Lineage: Bacteria; Bacillati; Bacillota; Bacilli; Caryophanales; Bacillaceae. RNAcentral also lists the same sequence under 1 other name. The record is from RNAcentral.
CUUUAUUGGAGAGUUUGAUCCUGGCUCAGGAUGAACGCUGGCGGCGUGCCUAAUACAUGCAAGUCGAGCGAAUGGAUUAAGAGCUUGCUCUUAUGAAGUUAGCGGCGGACGGGUGAGUAACACGUGGGUAACCUGCCCAUAAGACU